RNAcentral lists this ribosomal RNA (627 nucleotides) under uncultured Russulaceae. RNAcentral's name for it is "LSU rRNA". It matches the Rfam family "Eukaryotic large subunit ribosomal RNA", at positions 47 to 649 of the family's 3401-position model. The record is from RNAcentral. Lineage: Eukaryota; Fungi; Basidiomycota; Agaricomycetes; Russulales; Russulaceae.
UAAGCGGAGGAAAAGAAACUAACAAGGAUUCCCNUAGUAACUGCGAGUGAAGCGGGAAAAGCUCAAAUUUAAAAUCUGGCGGUCUUUGGCCGUCCGAGUUGUAAUUUAGAGAAGCGUCUUCCGCGCUGGACCGUGCACAAGUCUCCUGGAAUGGAGCGUCAUAGAGGGUGAGAAUCCCGUCUUUGGCACGGAUGCCCGGUGCUUCUGUGAUGCGCUCUCGAAGAGUCGAGUUGUUUGGGAAUGCAGCUCAAAAUGGGUGGUGAACUCCAUCUAAAGCUAAAUAUUGGCGAGAGACCGAUAGCGAACAAGUACCGUGAGGGAAAGAUGAAAAGCACUUUGGAAAGAGAGUGAAACAGUACGUGAAAUUGUUGAAAGGGAAACGCUUGAAGUCAGUCGCGUCGACCGAGACUCAGCCUUGCCUCGGCUUGGUGUACUUCUCGGCCCGACGGGUCAGCGUCAAUUUUGCCCCUCGGAUAAUGGCAAGGGAAAGGUGGCACCUUUACGGGUGUGUUAUAGUCUCCUGUCGCAUGCGAGGGGUGGGAUUGAGGAACUCAGCGCGCACCUUGGUGUCGGGGCUUCGGCCCACGUCACGCGCUUAGGAUGCUGGCGUAAUGGCUUUAAACGACC